Molecule: long non-coding RNA, 644 nt
Organism: Hyaena hyaena (striped hyena)
Lineage: Eukaryota; Metazoa; Chordata; Mammalia; Carnivora; Hyaenidae
Exons: 3
Source: RefSeq, a predicted model, not a curated record
ACGCCCCUCAGCGUCCCGGAUGUACUCUGCCUGAAGAGGAUGGGUGGCCCGGGCAUCUCUUAACGCCGCGUACAGCUGCCGUAGCUGCGGCGCCUUCUUCAGCUAAGGAUUUGAGAGGCUGAAGGGCGGGCGUGACAGCCUGAAGAGUUAAAACAGUGGUUCUCGGGAUACCUGGCUCGCUCAGUUGGAAGAGGAAUAGCUGGAUAGCUCGUGGCCAAUGUGUUUGCCGUGUAGCAAGCCAGCCAAGGCACUGAACGCCUAAAUAAAUCAGAGAAUUCUUUGUCUAAGUUUGCCCUUCAUCACAUGAACAACCAAAAAGAGUAUUAAUACGUUAAACCAACAGAGGACUUAAAUGGGAAUUGGAUGCUAGCAAUUGCUUAACAAGUGGAGAAUAGUAAACUUUUAAAACUGUAAAUACUUGUUUAAAAAGACAAAUGUUCUCAUUCACAUGUUGUCAGCGGAAUUGUAAACUGGUACAAUUUUCUCUGGAAGAGAUGCUGGCAGUAAAUACUCAAAGUCAUAACAAUAUUCAUAUCCUUUGACCCAGUAAUUCAAUUUCUGGGAAUUUGCCCAAAACAAAUAAUUAAAAAGAAGACAUAAACUGUGUUAUAAAGAUGCUCCUAACAACUCUGUAUAAUACAAAA